This 201-nucleotide long non-coding RNA is filed under the name Prunus persica (peach). Its description in RNAcentral is "long non-coding RNA (PPER_LNC006492)". Lineage: Eukaryota; Viridiplantae; Streptophyta; Magnoliopsida; Rosales; Rosaceae. The record is from RNAcentral.
GAGUCGGCUUGUUUUGAUCAAAUAUGAAAAGCUUCCCAAUUAUUGUUAUCUGUGUGGCAUUUGUGAUCAUGUCCUUAAUCAGUGUUCUCUUCGGGAGUCUGCUAUUAACCAGGGGGAUUUCAAACCCUUUGGUCCUUGGCUCAGAGCAUAGGUCAAAGAAUGGUUAGAUGAACCUGAGAUAGAACCACCUAGAUCACUCCG